Molecule: long non-coding RNA, 515 nt
Organism: Clupea harengus (Atlantic herring)
Lineage: Eukaryota; Metazoa; Chordata; Actinopteri; Clupeiformes; Clupeidae
Source: Ensembl
CAUCUUUUACACUCACAUAAGCGGUCUUCGUUGCCAAUAGAAGCAGUUCAAGGUCAUACUGACGAAAGUCAGUAUGGCAGAACAAGGCUUCACAUGGCAGGAGGUCUUGGACAUCAAGCUUUUGCAGGAGAGAAUUUGGCUGGAGGAGAGAAUGGAAGAGGUGCGAUGUCUCAUAGAUAAAGAGGUGGAAUGGAAGAUGAUGACUAUUCAUGAAGAAUGGGAGCUGGAGGAGAAGAAAAGGACAGAGGAAGAAGAUAUGGGGCAAGAAGACCAGGGAGUAGCGGGAAAUACUGAGGGUAGGAAGUUCACAACAUAGUGGUGUUCAUAGCUGUGAUCCACACUUCAGACAUGCAACUGCUCAAUGUCACUGUAUUCUGGAAACAGAUAGCCAUGCAGUAAAUAGCCAGACUGUGUUAUUCAUAACUUAUCCAUUGCAGUCAUGUAUUCAUCUAAUGGAAACUCACAAUAAAACACCUAUUCUGUAUCCGAAUAAUGUUUGAGUACUAUCAUCUUAG